AAGAAGUCAGGCCGGAUUAAGCCAUAGUACGGUAAGAGCUAUGCUGCCUGUGAGCCCCGUCUAAGGACGUAAAAUGAAGUCAGGCCGAAAGCCACGGUUUGAGCAAACCGUGCUGCCUGUAGCUCCAUCGUGGGGAUGUAAAAACCUGGGAGGCUGCAACCCAUGGAAGCUGUACGCAUGGGGUAGCAGACUAGUG
RNAcentral lists this long non-coding RNA (196 nucleotides) under dengue virus type 1. RNAcentral describes it as "Dengue virus 1 partial sfRNA1". Lineage: Riboviria; Orthornavirae; Kitrinoviricota; Flasuviricetes; Amarillovirales; Flaviviridae. The record is from RNAcentral.